RNAcentral lists this ribosomal RNA (447 nucleotides) under uncultured bacterium. Its description in RNAcentral is "partial 16S ribosomal RNA". It matches the Rfam family "Bacterial small subunit ribosomal RNA", at positions 329 to 792 of the family's 1533-position model. The record is from RNAcentral.
ACCCAGACUCCUACGGGAGGCAGCAGUGGGGGAUAUUGCACAAUGGGGGAAACCCUGAUGCAGCGACACCGCGUGGGUGAAGAAGCGCUUCGGCGUGUAAAGCCCUAUCAGUGGGGAAGAAAAAGGACGGUACCCAAAGAAGAAGCACCGGCUAACUACGUGCCAGCAGCCGCGGUAAUACGUAGGGGGCAAGCGUUAUCCGGAUUUACUGGGUGUAAAGGGGGCGCAGACGGCAGCGCAAGCCAGGAGUGAAAGCCCGGGGCCCAACCCCGGGACUGCUCUGGAAACUGCGGCGCUGGAGUACGGGAGGGGCAGGCGGAAUUCCUGGUGUAGCGGUGAAAUGCGUAGAUAUCAGGAGGAACACCGGCGGCGAAGGCGGCCUGCUGGACCGUGACUGACGUUGAGGCUCGAGAGCGUGGGGAGCAAACAGGAUUAGAUACCCGUGUA